AUUGAACGCUGGCGGCAGGCCUAACACAUGCAAGUCGAGCGGAGCGGCGGACGGGUGAGUAAUGCCUAGGAAUCUGCCUGGUAGUGGGGGAUAACGUCCGGAAACGGGCGCUAAUACCGCAUACUAUCAGAUGAGCCCAUGAGGGAUUAGGUAGUUGGUGGGGUAAUGGCCUAGCAAGCCGACGAUACCGAGCUAGUCUGAGAGGAUGACCAGCCACACAGGGACUGAGAGACGGCCCGGACUCCUACGGAAGGCAACAGUGGGAAAGAUGGCACAAUGGGGGCAACCCUGACGCAGCCAUACCGCGUGAAUGAAGAAGGCCUUCGGGUUGUAAAGUGCUUUCGGUGACGAGGCGUUAAUCACAGAAGAAGCACCGGCUAACUCCGUGCCAGCAGCCGCGGUAAUUC
This 407-nucleotide ribosomal RNA is filed under the name uncultured bacterium. RNAcentral's name for it is "partial 16S ribosomal RNA". It matches the Rfam family "Bacterial small subunit ribosomal RNA", at positions 29 to 526 of the family's 1533-position model. The record is from RNAcentral.